Molecule: ribosomal RNA, 252 nt
Filed under: Dialister succinatiphilus YIT 11850
Lineage: Bacteria; Bacillati; Bacillota; Negativicutes; Veillonellales; Veillonellaceae
Also listed under: 1 other name
Description: partial 16S ribosomal RNA
Rfam family: Bacterial small subunit ribosomal RNA
Source: RNAcentral
UACGUAGGUGGCAAGCGUUGUCCGGAAUUAUUGGGCGUAAAGCGCGCGCAGGCGGCUUCUUAAGUCCAUCUUAAAAGUGCGGGGCUUAACCCCGUGAUGGGAUGGAAACUGAGAGGCUGGAGUAUCGGAGAGGAAAGUGGAAUUCCUAGUGUAGCGGUGAAAUGCGUAGAGAUUAGGAAGAACACCGGUGGCGAAGGCGACUUUCUGGACGACAACUGACGCUGAGGCGCGAAAGCGUGGGGAGCAAACAGG